UUGACCUACGGGAGGCAGCAGUGGGGAAUAUUGCACAAUGGGGGAAACCCUGAUGCAGCGACGCCGCGUGAGCGAAGAAGUAUUUCGGUAUGUAAAGCUCUAUCAGCAGGGAAGAAAAAUGACGGUACCUGAGUAAGAAGCACCGGCUAAAUACGUGCCAGCAGCCGCGGUAAUACGUAUGGUGCAAGCGUUAUCCGGAUUUACUGGGUGUAAAGGGAGCGCAGACGGCUGUGCAAGUCUGGAGUGAAAGGCGGGGGCCCAACCCCCGGACUGCUCUGGAAACUGUAAAGCUGGAGUGCAGGAGG
RNAcentral lists this ribosomal RNA (305 nucleotides) under uncultured bacterium. Its description in RNAcentral is "bacterial SSU rRNA". It matches the Rfam family "Bacterial small subunit ribosomal RNA", at positions 332 to 655 of the family's 1533-position model. The record is from RNAcentral.